This 3238-nucleotide long non-coding RNA is filed under the name Acanthaster planci (crown-of-thorns starfish). Its description in RNAcentral is "uncharacterized LOC110974558, transcript variant X3". Lineage: Eukaryota; Metazoa; Echinodermata; Asteroidea; Valvatida; Acanthasteridae. The record is from RNAcentral.
UAAAUAAAGCCUGGCCCCCAGGCUGAGGAUGCGGCGCGACGUCUCGUUUCAUGCACCCAACAGCUCGAGGAGUGUUUAGCGGGGCAGUGGUGACACGUGGGACCUGAACAGAAUCUCAGCAAAGGUAUUGCCGCCGCUUGCCACAUGUGGAGAGCAUAUAAAAGGAGUAAACAGUGAGCGAUCAAAACAAAUACAGCGAGGCACGCUGGGAGGGCUCGCUGUUUCAACAAAGAUGACUGACGAAAACCCACCUGCUCAUCGGUCUUCGGCACAAUGCCAGUGAUAACGUAAUUACUGUGUGAAUAAGUUCCAUGCCAUGCCCCAUGGGUGGAGCAGACCGCAAAUUAUGGCGUAAUGAACUAUUUUCUUGGACAUUACUUGCCAUCGUGUGGUUCCAACAUGGGGUUCUUUUCCAAGAUAAAGAAAAGUCUCUGGUCUCUCUUCGUGCAUUCUAUAUAUCACCUUUUGGGGGCCACUUUGACUUGGGUAGAGGUAGAUGGUAGUUGGUACAUUGUAUUACACUUAUCCCACAUCAGGAACCAGCCAACACGCGUGGCCCGUGCUUUCGUGGUGGAACAUUUCUUGCCUUUUCAUUUGUUUGUGUAGCUCUGAUAUAAAAAAAAAAAGUCAGGACCUCUCUACAUGCCAGCAAACGGCAUAUGCAGCCAAUGGCAAUUAAUUCUACAAAUCACUAAGUAUUAAAGAAACCCGUAUCUUUGGCUUGAAGCAUGAUCGAUCGAUGGGCGUCUACCGUACCUAUUACGCAACAUAUUCAACGUGGCACGAUCGACCAAUCGGCAUUUUUGGCCUCUUUUCUAAUUGGCUUUUUUGAAUUGGCACGUGGAGCCGCCUAAACUGUGCUAGCAAGGAAGGGGUCCACAAGCUGAGUGCAUAAUUUAUAUUAGUCCAUGUGCCCGGCUUCUACUCUUAAACGGAGGUGUAGAAAAUCUGAUGACGUCUGAGAUGUGUGUACAUUCACUGGCUCCGUUCUUUCAAGCGACAAAUCUUGCACGCGUUUGUAUACCGGGUGCAGCGGCCGAGAUGCCCGUUGAGAUUACUGCACCUCAUAAAUAUUGAUCAAAUCGGACACGUCAUUGGCCAAUUCCAUCUCGCAUCAGAGAAGUAGAAAUGGGUGCGUUUCAAUUAGCUUACAUGUGUAAGUCAAACUUACACGAGAGCGUUCGUUUAGCCACCACGUGAUCUUCGUGUCUGCCCUGGUGUAAGCCACCACUACCCCAGCUGGCGAGCGGGUCUCUGGAGGAUCCCCGAGUGUAAUGACGUCACGGGUGGACUGUUCGAGCACGGGCAUGAUGGAACCUGGCGGGGACUUGAACUUUUUCCCAGAAUGCCUCGGCGAAUACACUACACCGUUCGAUCAGCCUCAUUUUGUGGCUUCCCUUGCGUGUAACACUGGUGUAUGCAGGUGACGUCUUACGGGGUGACCUUAUAUUCUGAUCAAUCGCUUCUUCCAUGUUACUACAGCAGAGUCGUGACUGGAUUGAUUCUCUUUUCCCUUCAGAGGAGUAAAGUCCUCCCACAGUUUGCCCACCUUAAUCGUGAAAAUGUGAGAAACAGCCCGCCUUCCGGAAGAAUUCAACUCUGUUUAUAAUGCCAUAGUCCCAUGGAAUGAAGAAAAACUCAGUGGGAGCCCGCACCUGCUAGAUAAGACCCUCAAUGACAGCGCGUGUUGACGUGGGCUGAGGAAGACGAAUGACAACAGUGCCCCCUCUUGACCCUGAGGCCUAGAUGCUUCUCUUAGAGCCCGUCUGCGCAGGAAUGCGUGGGUUCAAAGGUCAAGCAGUACUGCGCCGACUCUGUCCACAAUCUGAACGAUGCCGACUGGAUUGGCCACCAGGAAGGGGGAGAUGGUAUCAAACAAAUGACACUGCUCCUGCUAAAUUUAGGAAAAAUUCUUGACAUCUCUUCGGGUUACUCUCAGUGGAAAGUUCACCUUUGUAAACCUUUAGAAAUAUCUAUGGUUUCCCUGACUAUAAAAGGGCGCUGUUGCCGUGAAUGUUAUUACGGGAAGACACUCUUCCUUGGGGGCGGGGGUCUGUUCAAAUAUAUGAAUCCGGAACUUAUUAAUUAACUGGAAAUGGUUUUGAAAAAGCUUUGCUCCUGACCUCAUGUCAUGAACACACAAAACUGACAUGUUCAGUGAGACAAGAACUACAUGUACAUGUAUUUACAAGAACUGCAUUUAACAAUUACGCUGCCUUGUCCCUAUAAGUUUUGCUGAAGUGUCUCGAAGUUUUGCUGUUAUUUGACCAGUGGCGUAUCCAGCCAAAGAAAACUUCAAAGAGAAAGAAACAACGAAACGGUGAUUUGCAGACGAGCUUACUCUCCGUGGCAGCAGGGUCUUUCUUUUCCUCAAUCAGCACAUUCAUUCCGAGAACAAGGCAGUGUGUUUCCCUUCAUCCCUAUAGCAACCUCGCCCCCAUGGAAGGAGCAAAGGCACCUACCACAGACGACAGAGUUGAACAAAAGAAUAACCACGGGUAAAAGGACAGGAAAACCAUUUUGUUCCUUUUGUGCGUCAGUCCCUUUUUGUGGUAAAGUAAAGCAUGUACACCAUAAACACACAGUUACGCCCUAGUAUUUACAAACGAGAAAAUUACAACGGCAAAAAACCGUGAAAUACCCUGUUUUUUUAAUAUUGUCAGACAUAAUUCGCCUCAAAAAUGCGUAUUUACAUGCAACAGGUCUAACACGCUUGAGAUUUUAUGUUGGAAGGUUUGUUAUGAAAAAAGAGGGACACUUUUACUUAAAAUCUUGUGAUUUUUAAAAGUCAGGAUUUCUUCGGAGAUAAAUGCAGGUUUCUUUUUUACGUGUACAGGACGUCCCGGCUAUUUCAAAUGGUUCUGAAUUUAAUGCAUCAACUCAAAAUAUUCAAAUUCAUUCAGGGCAAAUCCGCAGUGUGUUAGAAAAAGCGAUUUGUUUCAAAGUAUGGUCCGCACAUUAACACAUAAAGUCGAGAAACCUCAUCAUUACAAAUCAAAUUUGUCGAAGCUUUUGAUAAAUGGAAGCGUCAAAGAGUGGAUUUGUCUUGUAUCAAUUAUUUUGAUAUACAUUUCAGGGUAAACUAUACUCUUGUGCGUGCUAAAGAAUUUCCUUGGGUCCCCACAAACCAUUUGGCACAAUAGAUUGACAACAAAAUAGCAAAAAUAUAAACAAUCCCCUCAAAACAAGUCUUUUUAAUUUAAAACAAAUGAAGAGUGCAUAAAUAAAUAAAUAAAUA